Molecule: ribosomal RNA, 241 nt
Filed under: uncultured bacterium
Lineage: Bacteria
Description: partial 16S ribosomal RNA
Rfam family: Bacterial small subunit ribosomal RNA
Source: RNAcentral
GAUCAUGGCUCAGGACGAACGCUGGCGGCGUGCUUAACACAUGCAAGUCGAACGGGGCACCCCGGGAACGAGGUUUCGGCCAAGUGAAGGGAAUGCUUAGUGGCGGACUGGUGAGUAACGCGUGAGGAACCUGCCUUCCAGAGGGGGGACAACAGUUGGAAACGACUGCUAAUACCGCAUGAUAUAUUUGAGGGGCAUCCCUUGAAUAUCAAAGAUUUAUCGCUGGAAGAUGGCCUCGCGU